This 414-nucleotide ribosomal RNA is filed under the name uncultured bacterium. RNAcentral's name for it is "bacterial SSU rRNA". It matches the Rfam family "Bacterial small subunit ribosomal RNA", at positions 28 to 440 of the family's 1533-position model. The record is from RNAcentral.
GACGAACGUUGGCGGCGUGCUUAAUACACGCAAGUCAACUGAAGCACCGGUAGUAAUACUGGUGUGGAGGUGGCGCACGGGUGAGUAACACGUAGGUAAUCUGCCUUCAGGUCUGACAUAACCCCGAGAAUCGGGGCUAAUAGCAGAUGAUGCAGCGGCUUGACAUCAAGACAGUUGUUAAAGCUUCGGCGCCUGAAGAUGAGCCUGCGUCUGAUUAGCUAGUUGGCGGAGUAAUGGCCCACCAAGGCUACGAUCAGUAACUGGUCUGAGAGGAUGAUCAGUCACACUGGAACUGAGACACGGUCCAGACUCCUACGGGAGGCAGCAGUAAGGAAUAUUGCUCAAUGGGAGAAAUCCUGAAGCAGCAACGCCGCGUGAGGGAUGAAGGGCUUUUGCUCGUAAACCUCUGUAGUG